RNAcentral lists this small RNA (599 nucleotides) under Penicillium oxalicum. RNAcentral's name for it is "eukaryotic LSU rRNA". The stretch from base 226 to 379 matches the Rfam family "5.8S ribosomal RNA". Lineage: Eukaryota; Fungi; Ascomycota; Eurotiomycetes; Eurotiales; Aspergillaceae. The record is from RNAcentral.
AAAAGUCGUAACAAGGUUUCCGUAGGUGAACCUGCGGAAGGAUCAUUACCGAGUGAGGGCCCUCUGGGUCCAACCUCCCACCCGUGUUUAUCGUACCUUGUUGCUUCGGCGGGCCCGCCUCACGGCCGCCGGGGGGCAUCUGCCCCCGGGCCCGCGCCCGCCGAAGACACACAAACGAACUCUUGUCUGAAGAUUGCAGUCUGAGUACUUGACUAAAUCAGUUAAAACUUUCAACAACGGAUCUCUUGGUUCCGGCAUCGAUGAAGAACGCAGCGAAAUGCGAUAAGUAAUGUGAAUUGCAGAAUUCAGUGAAUCAUCGAGUCUUUGAACGCACAUUGCGCCCCCUGGUAUUCCGGGGGGCAUGCCUGUCCGAGCGUCAUUGCUGCCCUCAAGCACGGCUUGUGUGUUGGGCUCUCGCCCCCCGCUUCCGGGGGGCGGGCCCGAAAGGCAGCGGCGGCACCGCGUCCGGUCCUCGAGCGUAUGGGGCUUCGUCACCCGCUCUGUAGGCCCGGCCGGCGCCCGCCGGCGAACACCAUCAAUCUUAACCAGGUUGACCUCGGAUCAGGUAGGGAUACCCGCUGAACUUAAGCAUAUCAAAA